This 494-nucleotide ribosomal RNA is filed under the name uncultured bacterium. RNAcentral describes it as "partial 16S ribosomal RNA". It matches the Rfam family "Bacterial small subunit ribosomal RNA", at positions 28 to 507 of the family's 1533-position model. The record is from RNAcentral.
GACGAACGCUGGCGGCGCGCUUAACACAUGCAAGUCGAACGGAAAGGCCUGCUUUCCCUUGUGGAUUGCGGGUACUCGAGUGGCGAACGGGUGAGUAACACGUGAGUGAUCUGCCCCCAACUUGGGUAUAAGCCUGGGAAACUGGGUCUAAUUCCCGAUAGGACUGCAGGGUGGUGCCUGUGGUGGAAAACGAUUUUCUAGUGGUUGGGGAUGAGCUCGCGGCCUAUCAGCUUGUUGGUGGGGUAAUGGCCUACCAAGGCGGCGACGGGUAGCCGGCCUGAGAGGGUGGACGGCGACAGUGGGACUGAGAUACGGCCCAGACGCCUACGGGAGGCAGCAGUGGGGAAUAUUGCACAAUGGGCGGAAGCCUGAUGCAGCGACGCCGCGUGGGGGAUGACGGCCUUCGGGUUGUAAACUCCUUUCGACCGCGAGGAAGCCACCUGGUUGGAAGGGUGGUGACGGUAGUGGUAGAAGAAGCACCGGCUAACUACGUG